UAUAAAAAAAGAAUAUAUCCGUAGAAAGUAGGGAACAAAAUAGUUUUAAAAAUCCUACCGAGGGUGACAUCAUAAAAGAUUGUUAGAGCCUUUGUAUAUCUAUGGAUAUAUGAAGGCUUUUAUAUAUUAUA
Molecule: regulatory RNA element, 131 nt
Rfam family: Ribosomal protein L10 leader
About the family: This family is a putative r-protein leader autoregulatory structure found in B. subtilis and other low-GC Gram-positive bacteria. It is located in the 5' untranslated regions of mRNAs encoding ribosomal proteins L10 and L12 (rplJ-rplL). A Rho-independent transcription terminator structure that is probably involved in regulation is included at the 3' end.
Source: Rfam